UUAAGACGAGCGGUCUGCCGUUGUAGAAGUGCGGGCGUUUUUAUGGUGUUGAUUGGCACGGCUGGUUACAGUGGUCAGUUGCAUCGGGAAUGCGCAACCACUCUAUUAGCAUAAGAUACUGCGGAGUAAAGAUGGGGUUGGACCCAAUAACUGUUAGGUGAGGGACCCAAUGACGGCUUUGCUUACGCUUUUGAAUAGUAGGUUUGACUUAACUAAGGAAUGAGACCAAUAACUGUCAGGUAAGGCCUACAGGAUUUAGAGACCGAUCACUACAAUUUGCUUGAGAAGUAUUGGACAAGAGUUGUCCACUCAUCGAUUUGUAUAUCACCAAUAACUGUCAGAUGAGGUGGUACAUUAAACUGGUGGGACCGCAGUAUCCACUUAAAACCAUAGUUAGAAAAUUGCGUACGGUAAAAACGCAGCGGAAAAAGAAAUCAAACAAAUUUGAUUUUUUACUCAAGUAACAC
Molecule: long non-coding RNA, 467 nt
Filed under: Ananas comosus (pineapple)
Lineage: Eukaryota; Viridiplantae; Streptophyta; Magnoliopsida; Poales; Bromeliaceae
Description: long non-coding RNA (ACOM_LNC022164)
Source: RNAcentral